Molecule: ribosomal RNA, 624 nt
Filed under: uncultured bacterium
Lineage: Bacteria
Description: bacterial SSU rRNA
Rfam family: Bacterial small subunit ribosomal RNA
Source: RNAcentral
ACGAAGCAGGGGGGCGGAAUCUCUCCGGAGGGGAAGCCCCCCUGACUGAGUGGCGGACGGGUGAGUAACGCGUGGACAACCUACCCCGCACUGGGGGACAACAGCCAGAAACGGCUGCUAAUACCGCAUAUGCGCACGGCCCCGCAUGGGGCCGCGCGGAAAGCGCAUGCGGUGCGGGAUGGGUCCGCGUCUGAUUAGCUUGUUGGCGGGGUAACGGCCCACCAAGGCGACGAUCAGUAGCCGGCCUGAGAGGGUGGACGGCCACAUUGGGACUGAGACACGGCCCAGACUCCUACGGGAGGCAGCAGUGGGGGAUAUUGCACAAUGGGGGCAACCCUGAUGCAGCGACGCCGCGUGAGCGAUGGAGUACUUCGGUAUGUAAAGCUCUGUCAGCAGGGAAGAGAAUGACGGUACCUGACCAAGAAGCCCCGGCUAAAUACGUGCCAACAGCCGCGGUAAUACGUAUGGGGCAAGCGUUAUCCGGAUUUACUGGGUGUAAAGGGAGCGUAGGCGGCUGCGCAAGCCUGAUGUGAAAGCCCGGGGCCCAACCCCGGGACUGCCUUCCACCCGCCCCGCUCGAGUGCCGGAGGGGCCCCCCGAAUUCCUAGUGUAGCGGUGAAAUGC